Transfer RNA from Felis catus (domestic cat), 85 nucleotides. It matches the Rfam family "tRNA". Rfam says of the family: Transfer RNA (tRNA) molecules are approximately 80 nucleotides in length. Their secondary structure includes four short double-helical elements and three loops (D, anti-codon, and T loops). Lineage: Eukaryota; Metazoa; Chordata; Mammalia; Carnivora; Felidae. The record is from Rfam.
GCCUGAGUGGCUCAGUAGGUUAAGCAUCUGACUUCGGCUCAGGUCAUGAUCUUGCGGUCCGUGAGUUCGAGCCCUGCAUCAGGCU